Molecule: ribosomal RNA, 483 nt
Filed under: Acinetobacter sp. SAP6
Lineage: Bacteria; Pseudomonadati; Pseudomonadota; Gammaproteobacteria; Moraxellales; Moraxellaceae
Description: bacterial SSU rRNA
Rfam family: Bacterial small subunit ribosomal RNA
Source: RNAcentral
GAUUGAACGCUGGCGGCAGGCUUAACACAUGCAAGUCGAGCGGGGGAAGGUAGCUUGCUACCGGACCUAGCGGCGGACGGGUGAGUAAUGCUUAGGAAUCUGCCUAUUAGUGGGGGACAACAUCUCGAAAGGGAUGCUAAUACCGCAUACGUCCUACGGGAGAAAGCAGGGGAUCUUCGGACCUUGCGCUAAUAGAUGAGCCUAAGUCGGAUUAGCUAGUUGGUGGGGUAAAGGCCUACCAAGGCGACGAUCUGUAGCGGGUCUGAGAGGAUGAUCCGCCACACUGGGACUGAGACACGGCCCAGACUCCUACGGGAGGCAGCAGUGGGGAAUAUUGGACAAUGGGGGGAACCCUGAUCCAGCCAUGCCGCGUGUGUGAAGAAGGCCUUAUGGUUGUAAAGCACUUUAAGCGAGGAGGAGGCUACUUUAGUUAAUACCUAGAGAUAGUGGACGUUACUCGCAGAAUAAGCACCGGCUAACUCU